UCCUUGGGAUUUGCUCAGAUAACAUCUCUCCUUUCAUUUCAGCAAACACGCUCUUUCGGCUUAUAUUAGGUUGUUUUCAGCAGGUGCUUUUGGGCACACAAAGCAACACAAGCUUUGAAGAUUCUAUGCAGAAAACAGCAUGGAGUAGAGGGAAUAUUUAAGUUCAGGAUUUGGGGUUGUGAGUUCAGAGGCAACUAGGAGACAGCAGCCCAGUCAUAGCAGGAACCUCUCAGACAGCCCGGCGGCCUUCCUUCGCACUUGACGUGGAUUCUCAUUCCCGGACAUCCAAAAGAUAAAUGCAGAUGGAUAAAAUCCAUAGCAGAGCACCCCAUCCCAGGAAAUAAAGCCUUCUAGCAGUAGUCAAGGCGAGGUGGUCAAGGCAAUCCAUGUGGAGUACACAUAACUCCCCGUCAGACACUGGCCGACGGACCGGGAUUGUUGUUUUUUGGAGCCCUGUGGAAGUAUUACAGGACUCGGCGAUGAAGCCUCUGCCUUUUCGAUUUAAAGGAGUCACCCGGAGAGACUUUGGCAACGCCGAGGAGUCACGGCGAGUCGGGAA
Molecule: long non-coding RNA, 559 nt
Organism: Passer domesticus (house sparrow)
Lineage: Eukaryota; Metazoa; Chordata; Aves; Passeriformes; Passeridae
Exons: 5
Source: RefSeq, a predicted model, not a curated record